GAUUGCCUUAGUAACGGCGAGUGAAGCGGCAAUAGCUCAAAUUUGAAAUCUGGCAUUUUUGGAUGUCCGAGUUGUAAUUUGUAGAGGAUGUUUCGGUAUUAGCUCCAGUCUAAGUCCCUUGGAACAGGGCGUCGCAGAGGGUGAGAAUCCCGUACGCGACUGGCUGCUUUUGCCAUGUGAAACUCCUUCGACGAGUCGAGUUGUUUGGGAAUGCAGCUCUAAUUGGGAGGUAAAUUUCUUCUAAAGCUAAAUACUGGCCAGAGACCGAUAGCGCACAAGUAGAGUGAUCGAAAGAUGAAAAGCACUUUGGAAAGAGAGUUAAAAAGUACGUGAAAUUGUUGAAAGGGAAGCGCUUGCAAUCAGACCUGCUUGCAGUUGUUCAUCUGGACUUUUGUCUAGUGCACUCUUCUGUGAGUCAGGCCAGUAUCGGUUUGGGCGGUUGGAUAAAGAUUUCAGGAAUGUAGCUCUCUUCGGAGAGUGUUAUAGCUUGUUUUGUAAUGCAACCAGCCCAGAUCGAGGACCGCGCUUCGGCUAGGAUACUGGCGUAAUGGUUGUAAGCGGCCCGUCUUGAAACACGGACCAAGGAGUCUAACAUCUGUGCGAGUGUUCGGGUGUCAAACCCGUGCGCGUAAUGAAAGUGAACGGAGGCGGGAACCUUUUUUUAGGUGCACUGUCGACCGAUCCUGAUGUCUUCGGAUGGAUUUGAGUAAGAGCAUAGCUGUUGGGACCCGAAAGAUGGUGAACUAUGCUUGAAUAGGGUGAAGCCAGAGGAAACUCUGGUGGAGGCUCGCAGCGGUUCUGACGUGCAAAUCGAUCGUCAAAUUUGGGCAUAGGGGCGAAAGACUAAUCGAACUAUCUAGUAGCUGGUUCCUGCCGAAGUUUCCCUCAGGAUAGCAGUAACGUUUUCAGUUUUAUGAGGUAAAGCGAAUGAUUAGAGGCCUGGGGGUUGAAACAACCUUCACCUAUUCUCAAACUUUAAAUAUGUAAGAAGUCCUUGUUACUUAGUUGAACGUGGACAUUUGAAUGCACCGUUACUAGUGGGCCAUUUUUGGUAAGCAGAACUGGCGAUGCGGGAUGAACCGAACGCGGAGUUAAGGUGCCGGAAUGCACGCUCAUCAGACACCACAAAAGGUGUUAGUUCAUCUAGACAGCAGGACGGUGGCCAUGGAAGUCGGAAUCCGCUAAGGAGUGUGUAACAACUCACCUGCCGAAUGAACUAGCCCUGAAAAUGGAUGGCGCUCAAGCGUGCUACCCAUACUCCGCCGCUGGGGUGAGAUCUAUACCCCAGCGAGUAGGCAGGCGUGGAGGCCCGUGACGAAGCC
This 1322-nucleotide ribosomal RNA is filed under the name Halokirschsteiniothelia maritima. RNAcentral's name for it is "eukaryotic LSU rRNA". It matches the Rfam family "Eukaryotic large subunit ribosomal RNA", at positions 73 to 1410 of the family's 3401-position model. The record is from RNAcentral. Lineage: Eukaryota; Fungi; Ascomycota; Dothideomycetes; Mytilinidiales.